GAAGAUGAAGAGACAUGAAGAUGUAUGCCUGAUCCAGUCAAGUACUAAUCAAGGCUUGAAUGACUCCCAGUAUCCCUCCUGUUCAUUUUGAGUUGGGAAUAUAUCAACCACAGAGCAAAACAGUGUUCCUCAGCAGUGUGUCACAAUGAUUGGUUGUAUGGGUGUCACAGUUCUGCAAGAAAUACAAAUCUGUAAGAAGAAUGAAACCUUGACUGGAAAUACGCUGGAAAGCUGUCGUAAUAAAUUUGACAUAAUAUGCAUGACAUGGAUGGAUAGAUCAUUGUUUGCCAGGCCUGGCAAAUAAAACUGGUGUCGUGGAGUCAGAAUUACAGGGGGAGAGAAACAUUGUUCUACAAGGCAUGUUCCAGAGAGGAACCAAAUCUGAAACAGCUAUAUAUUUUACUUGUGCUUAAAUUGAAUAAUAAAAAAGGCUUGCUCAGAAAUCUUACUGUGCUU
This 456-nucleotide long non-coding RNA is filed under the name Cyanistes caeruleus (blue tit). RNAcentral describes it as "lncRNA (ENSCCEG00000021076.1)". The record is from RNAcentral. Lineage: Eukaryota; Metazoa; Chordata; Aves; Passeriformes; Paridae.